This 1427-nucleotide ribosomal RNA is filed under the name Lactiplantibacillus plantarum. RNAcentral describes it as "bacterial SSU rRNA". It matches the Rfam family "Bacterial small subunit ribosomal RNA". The record is from RNAcentral. Lineage: Bacteria; Bacillati; Bacillota; Bacilli; Lactobacillales; Lactobacillaceae.
AGUCGAACGAACUCUGGUAUUGAUUGGUGCUUGCAUCAUGAUUUACAUUUGAGUGAGUGGCGAACUGGUGAGUAACACGUGGGAAACCUGCCCAGAAGCGGGGGAUAACACCUGGAAACAGAUGCUAAUACCGCAUAACAACUUGGACCGCAUGGUCCGAGCUUGAAAGAUGGCUUCGGCUAUCACUUUUGGAUGGUCCCGCGGCGUAUUAGCUAGAUGGUGGGGUAACGGCUCACCAUGGCAAUGAUACGUAGCCGACCUGAGAGGGUAAUCGGCCACAUUGGGACUGAGACACGGCCCAAACUCCUACGGGAGGCAGCAGUAGGGAAUCUUCCACAAUGGACGAAAGUCUGAUGGAGCAACGCCGCGUGAGUGAAGAAGGGUUUCGGCUCGUAAAACUCUGUUGUUAAAGAAGAACAUAUCUGAGAGUAACUGUUCAGGUAUUGACGGUAUUUAACCAGAAAGCCACGGCUAACUACGUGCCAGCAGCCGCGGUAAUACGUAGGUGGCAAGCGUUGUCCGGAUUUAUUGGGCGUAAAGCGAGCGCAGGCGGUUUUUUAAGUCUGAUGUGAAAGCCUUCGGCUCAACCGAAGAAGUGCAUCGGAAACUGGGAAACUUGAGUGCAGAAGAGGACAGUGGAACUCCAUGUGUAGCGGUGAAAUGCGUAGAUAUAUGGAAGAACACCAGUGGCGAAGGCGGCUGUCUGGUCUGUAACUGACGCUGAGGCUCGAAAGUAUGGGUAGCAAACAGGAUUAGAUACCCUGGUAGUCCAUACCGUAAACGAUGAAUGCUAAGUGUUGGAGGGUUUCCGCCCUUCAGUGCUGCAGCUAACGCAUUAAGCAUUCCGCCUGGGGAGUACGGCCGCAAGGCUGAAACUCAAAGGAAUUGACGGGGGCCCGCACAAGCGGUGGAGCAUGUGGUUUAAUUCGAAGCUACGCGAAGAACCUUACCAGGUCUUGACAUACUAUGCAAAUCUAAGAGAUUAGACGUUCCCUUCGGGGACAUGGAUACAGGUGGUGCAUGGUUGUCGUCAGCUCGUGUCGUGAGAUGUUGGGUUAAGUCCCGCAACGAGCGCAACCCUUAUUAUCAGUUGCCAGCAUUAAGUUGGGCACUCUGGUGAGACUGCCGGUGACAAACCGGAGGAAGGUGGGGAUGACGUCAAAUCAUCAUGCCCCUUAUGACCUGGGCUACACACGUGCUACAAUGGAUGGUACAACGAGUUGCGAACUCGCGAGAGUAAGCUAAUCUCUUAAAGCCAUUCUCAGUUCGGAUUGUAGGCUGCAACUCGCCUACAUGAAGUCGGAAUCGCUAGUAAUCGCGGAUCAGCAUGCCGCGGUGAAUACGUUCCCGGGCCUUGUACACACCGCCCGUCACACCAUGAGAGUUUGUAACACCCAAAGUCGGUGGGGUAACCUUUUAGGAACCAG